This 335-nucleotide unclassified non-coding RNA is filed under the name soil metagenome. RNAcentral's name for it is "partial contains 5.8S ribosomal RNA, internal transcribed spacer 2, and large subunit ribosomal RNA". The stretch from base 1 to 120 matches the Rfam family "5.8S ribosomal RNA", at positions 35 to 154 of the family's 154-position model. The record is from RNAcentral.
GAUGAAGAACGUAGCGAAAUGCGAUAAGUAAUGUGAAUUGCAGAAUUCAGUGAAUCAUCGAAUCUUUGAACGCACAUUGCGCCCGCCAGUAUUCUGGCGGGCAUGCCUGUUCGAGCGUCAUUUCAACCAUCUAGCCCCCGGCUUGUGUUGGGGACCUGCGGCUGCCGCAGGCCCUGAAAACCAGUGGCGGGCUCGCUAGUCACUCCGAGCGUAGUAAUACAUCUCGCUCAGGGCGUGCUGCGGGUUCCGGCCGUUAAAAAGCCUUAUUUACCCAAGGUUGACCUCGGAUCAGGUAGGAAGACCCGCUGAACUUAAGCAUAUCAAUAAGCGGAGGA